AACUAGGAUUUCCUUAGUAACCGAGUGAACAGGAAAAAGCUCAAACUGGAAAUCGGCAGCUUGCUGUCGAAUUGUAGUCUCAUGAUGUGCAACUUGUAUCUGUUCUGGGAUAAUUCUCUUGGAAAAGAGUACCAUAGAGGGUGAGAGUCCCGUCUUAGCUCAGGGCAGUUACGUCCAGUGUUUCAAAGAGUCGUGUUCCUUGAGAUUGGAGCGCUAAUCAGGUGAUAAAUUUCAUCUAAAGCUAAAUAUUGCUGAGAUUCCGAUAGCAUACAAGUACCGUGAGGGAACGAUGAAAAGGACUUUGAAAAGAGAGUUAAAAGGAACUGAAAUCGCUGAAGGGGAAGUGGAGGUGGCUGUAUUGAAGUCUUUUGUUUUUUGGCGAUGAGUCGAAAGUCAAAAAUCUUUAUGCCUCUGAAAGUGGUUAUUGAAAGCAUGAAGGCAACAGCUCUUCGGGGUUAUUCCUGUAUCUGUCGUCAACUGAAGUACAUAACUCCUAAUGCAGCAAUGUGGUGGAUUAUAACAUUUAGAGAUGUCGCUUCUCCCGC
RNAcentral lists this ribosomal RNA (545 nucleotides) under Amynthas hupeiensis. Its description in RNAcentral is "eukaryotic LSU rRNA". It matches the Rfam family "Eukaryotic large subunit ribosomal RNA", at positions 67 to 641 of the family's 3401-position model. The record is from RNAcentral. Lineage: Eukaryota; Metazoa; Annelida; Clitellata; Crassiclitellata; Megascolecidae.